CUGGCGGCAGGCCUAACACAUGCAAGUCGAGCGGAUGACGGGAGCUUGCUCCUUGAUUCAGCGGCGGACGGGUGAGUAAUGCCUAGGAAUCUGCCUGGUAGUGGGGGACAACGUUUCGAAAGGAACGCUAAUACCGCAUACGUCCUACGGGAGAAAGCAGGGGACCUUCGGGCCUUGCGCUAUCAGAUGAGCCUAGGUCGGAUUAGCUAGUUGGUGGGGUAAUGGCUCACCAAGGCGACGAUCCGUAACUGGUCUGAGAGGAUGAUCAGUCACACUGGAACUGAGACACGGUCCAGACUCCUACGGGAGGCAGCAGUGGGGAAUAUUGGACAAUGGGCGAAAGCCUGAUCCAGCCAUGCCGCGUGUGUGAAGAAGGUCUUCGGAUUGUAAAGCACUUUAAGUUGGGAGGAAGGGCAGUAAGUUAAUACCUUGCUGUUUUGACGUUACCGACAGAAUAAGCACCGGCUAACUCUGUGCCAGCAGCCGCGGUAAUACAGAGGGUGCAAGCGUUAAUCGGAAUUACUGGGCGUAAAGCGCGCGUAGGUGGUUUGUUAAGUUGGAUGUGAAAGCCCCGGGCUCAACCUGGGAACUGCAUCCAAAACUGGCAAGCUAGAGUACGGUAGAGGGUGGUGGAAUUUCCUGUGUAGCGGUGAAAUGCGUAGAUAUAGGAAGGAACACCAGUGGCGAAGGCGACCACCUGGACUGA
RNAcentral lists this ribosomal RNA (706 nucleotides) under Pseudomonas sp. Its description in RNAcentral is "bacterial SSU rRNA". It matches the Rfam family "Bacterial small subunit ribosomal RNA", at positions 36 to 737 of the family's 1533-position model. The record is from RNAcentral. Lineage: Bacteria; Pseudomonadati; Pseudomonadota; Gammaproteobacteria; Pseudomonadales; Pseudomonadaceae.